CCUCAACGAACAUUAUAUGAAGGGAAGCAUAAACGUAACCACCGGGAGCCGUCGAUGGCGACCUCUGAAAAACUUCCUGUGUAUCUUACUCAACCUUCCCUCCUUACUCGUGUUCGUGUAAUACAGGUUCCGCUUUCGUGGUGUGCCUUUUCCCCCUCUAUUGACAGCGUAUGCUGUUGACACAUUUCCCCAUUUACUUAAUUCUUUUUAUAGUAAUUACGUGUUUAUAGAAAUACGUGGACGUUAUUUUAAAUCUCGAAAAAGACUCAACAUUUAGCUGCCAAAAAGAAAGGAAGCUAACGCUACCAUGUAAUGGAUGUUGGAUUGGCGUUAUUGUCAUAUAAACGAGGGAAAAAAGACUGGAAACAUAGCCGGGACAUUGGCGAUGAUGGAACCUCACUGAUGUGAAUCAUGUGGGUGGAGUUUUUUGGAUGUUGGCCUGCUCACCUAUCACAGCUGUUCAGAGAGACAGACGUUCCUCCCAGUCAAGGACAUUUAGGGAGAUUCAAAAAUUCUCAGUUCCCUGAAGCCUUUUCCCUACCGAGGGCUUUGAAAUGCCACUUUGACACCAUCCACACAACCCUUGAACAUGAAGGCCCAUUUUCCGGCUGUGAGCAAGACUGCCCGUUCCGCAGCAUGGAUUGUGUGGAAUACCGGUUUCAUUUGACAUCCGCGCAUGGUCUCCCGCUUAUUCCUUGCCAUUUCUGAGACCUGAGUGUCUUUUCUCACACAGUGUAAAAUGGAGAACCACAGUAGAGUACAUAAGAAUUUUGGCUGCCGGUUUGUCACACAAACCCUGGCGGAAUGGAGUGACCACCUUUUGGAACACAACACUGAAGGUAAGGUACCCACAAAUGGAGAUCACCAACCUCAAGUCUCUGCUUCAGGUUCCAGUCAAGUCUGCAUAUCAUCAGAACCAGAACAGGACAAAGAAGAAGAAGCAGCACAACAAGAACACAAUGUGAAAGAAUUGGGAAAGACAGUGGAAAACACACUUUCAGCAAAAAAUGCCACACUAUUGCCGACUAAAGACUACCUUGCAGAGGGGACAGAGAAUAUGUACCGUACCCACAUUUGUCCCAAAUGCCGACGCUGUUUCAAAAUGCGUUCCCAUCUGCAAGAGCACCUCCAUUUACAUUUUCCCAACUCCAGCCUGCAGUGUCCCACAUGCAAGCGCUUCUUCACCAGCAGGAGCAAACUACGCAUACACCGGCGACGUGAGGCAGGUGAAAAAGUCCAUCAUUGUCACUUGUGUGAAUAUUCCGCUGUGGAACGGAGCGCAAUCCACCGCCACCUUAGCACCAUGCAUGCUGAGGAGGCAGAAGAUGACACGGUCUGCCGCCGCUAUCCUUGUCCUACAUGCGGUCAAAGCUUUACCCAAAGCAGGGCGUUGAAGUCUCACAUGAAGACUCACAAUGUCCAACCAGACUGCAAAACUCCAGUGGCUUGCUUCCAAGAGGGUUGUUCUUUCCAGACUUUUUUACCCAAGGCUCUUGUCCGACACGCUGCAGAGGUGCAUGACAUCAAGGCUGUGGAAUGUCGACAUCACGCCUGCAGUGCUAUCUUUCCGGGUGAGAAGGAAAUGGAGGCUCAUUACAGAACCCACCUCGCUUACCAUUGCUCUCAGUGCGAUUUCUCAUGUUCCAAUAAGACCGCCUUCCUCCGGCACCAGCGCCAUGGCCAUGCAGGAAGUGAAAAACUGUGUUGUGAUUUUUGCACCUUUUUCACAUUUAACCCUGUGGAAUUUGAGCAGCACACUGGACACUUGCAUGCCAACGAAAAGAUCCAUCAAUGUCCACAGUGCAGCUAUGUGACCUCACACAAGAGAGGUUUGAGGCGACACAUGCUGAAGCAUAGUGUUGAGAAGCCUUUUAAGUGCAGCCUCUGUGACUUCCGAUGCCGUGAUGUUUCCUACCUCUCAAAACAUAUGCUCACACACUCCGAUAACAAGAACUUCAUGUGUGCUGAAUGUGGCUAUGUCACCAAAUGGAAACACUACUUAAACGUCCACAUGAGGAAACAUGCAGGAGAACUCAGGUAUGAGUGUGAUCAGUGCCCAUAUCGCUGUCAUCGCAUGGACCAGCUCAACAGCCACAAACUACGACAUCAGGCCAAAUCACUGAUGUGUGAGAUCUGUGCCUACGUCUGCAAGCGCACAUAUGAGCUCCGUAACCACAUGUUAGCGAAACAUUCUGUAGAGGGCAAACAAGCAUCUGUGUACAAGUGCAAAUACUGUACAUACACAACACGUUUUCGCCAAGCCCUUCAAAAUCAUGAGAAUUGUAUACACACCCGGCUGAAACAGUUCUGCUGCGCCCUCUGUCCCUAUUCCUCAUUCAGCAGCAUCAGCCUCUUCUUGCACAAGAAGAAAACCCAUGGAUAUGUACCAGGUGACAAAACUUGGCUGCAGAAUUAUGCGGCAAAAGAGAGGCAGAGGAACUCAUCUAACAUGUUGCACAAUGUCUGCAAUGAGCCACUGACAUGCAAUGAAAGAUCUAAGCUGUCGACUGAAGAAGCUCCAACAGAUUUUGGUGCCAAUGAAGCUCCUGCAGCUAUUGGAUCACUCAAUGAUGAAGAGGUUAGUCCACUUGGCACCAGCCCAGAGUACUGUACUCUUGUUUUAACAACAGUAACUGCAGACAAUGAAACUGCUAUUUUGCCAAAUGAAGACGCAUCCCCUUUACACUGCAAUAAAUCAGUCCAAGACAAGAUUCUCAUGGUUCAUGAAGAAGUUGAAAAAAGUCCAGCAGCUGACAGCCAUGAGUCGGAGCAAGAACCUCUAGAAUUGGAUCAUGAAUGCGGCAGUUCACAAUUCCCAUCUGAGAAAAAUCAGUUGGAAUGUUUGAAGCCCAAGAGGGCACAAGAAAAGGACCAAGCUGACGCUAUGGUUUUGGAGGGAAGAGUCCAGAUGCUUGUGGUGCCAAGCAAAUAUGGUCACGGCGGUGACAGAUCAUCUUCUAUGACCAGAAAGGAGAAGACUUUAAAGCUACCACAGCAUCAUGAGUGCCAGGCAUGUGGUGCUCAGUUCAAACAGAGGCGUGGCCUAAGUAGCCACCUUUCCAAGAAAUGUCCUGCAAUUCCAAGAAAAAUACAAACUUUUACUGGCAUUGCAGUCACACCGACCGAAGACGGUGUGGAUCCAGACACUUCUAAAAACCCGGCAGGAACAAUUUCACAUGAGGAAUGCCUUGUUCAACAAAAAGACACAGCAACUUCUGAAAGUGCCUAUAUGUUCACUGAGGCAGAUCAUGAGCAGAGCAACACACAGACAGAAAGGCUGUCAGAGGUUCGACACGGAGACAUUUCAGUACAGAAUGGGACAUUCAUGUGCAGCCUGUGCAGUUUUUCAUCAGUCAGACUCGCAACCGUGAAUAGACACGUUUCUAUUUGCCAAAAGCCAUUGCAAAUAAUGGAGAGGAAGACAGUCUCAAAAGACAAAAAGAGUGAAAGUAUACAAAUCACUGAAGAACAAUCUGGAGAGGAAUUUGUUAAAAGGCCUGGAGAGGUUUCCUCUGCUAUGUCUAACGGUGGAUUGAGAAAAGCUUUAGAUCUGCCGGAGAAGUCGAAUGAGUUGCAUUGCUCCAUGUGUCCAUUUGUUGACAAAUCCAAAAUCUCGACCAAUCACAUCAAUAAAAACUGUAGGCCAAUGCGUUUAAACCAGAGCGCUACCUUGACCAGCAAGCAAGAGCGGGGAAAGACACGGCUAAAACAACAAGAUGCCGCACUGCACACAUGCAGCUACUGUUCUUUCAGCACCACACGCCGCUAUCGCUUGGAAGAACACGAGUCUCUUCACACUGGAAUCGGGCGCCACACCUGCGACAUUUGCAACAAGACCUUUGGAGCCCUGACCAAACUGCGUCAGCACAAGGUACGCAUCCACGACAAACGGCCUUCCCAGGCGUGUACACUCUGUGACUACCGCGGCUACGCGCUUGAUGACGUGAGGAGACACACUCUCAGAUGCCACACAGGAGAAAUGCAUCAUAUCUGCCUUCAUUGUGAGGUUCGCUUCAGUUCAGAAGUCGCUCUAAGAAACCACUGUAAGCGUGUGCACCAGCUCCAAGUGCUUUUGUCCUGCAAGCAGUGCGACUAUUCAUGUAGCGACAAGGCCACACUGAGGACCCACCAGCAGAGCAAACACACCGCAAAGAACUGCACCACCUGUCAGGAGUCUUUGGGGACCAAAGAAAGCAUCAAGGCUCAUAGGAGAACCCAUCUUGCUCAUCAGUGCCAGCUCUGCCCUUUUUCUAGCAAAACAAAGCAGCUCCUUGCACAGCACCUUCUGGAUGAACAUGAGGAUGGGUGCCUUCUGGAUAAGCCUCUUGGGUGCAGCAGCUGUCCAUUUGCUUGUCAGCAUCCGCUGGUUUUGGAGCAGCAUCUCCGCUCGCAUGGAGGCAAGCGUGUGUACCAAUGCACCGACUGCAAGUAUACCACUGGCAACAAGCAGAAGAUGACGUGGCAUGUUCGCAUACACACCGGGGAGAAGCCUUACAGGUGUGAGAAUUGUAGUUACACCUGCAUUGAUCCCUCAAGGUUGAAGGACUUGGUUUUUGAUGCCCAUUUGACCACAUAUCAUUCCGCGAAAUGGAGUGCCCAAAUAAAGCAUGACAGGUUCCAGCCUUUAGUCAUUUUUAUUAUGUAUAGGUGGGUAGUUUAUAACACACCCUCAAUGAUGAACAACUUCAUGUCUGUCUCUGUGUUUCCUCAGAUAAGCACUGUGUGCCCUCGCUGAAGUGCACUACGUAUUUCAUAGUUUAGGUGAAUAUGUUUUCAGACAGUCUGUGCUUUCUUUAAAAAUGGAGUACAGCUGUAAACGGUAAACAGUGGUUGCCAUUUCAUUCAAGAAAGAACAUUGUGAAGGUAACAUAUGUUACAAUUAGGGUUCGCAAUCGAUUAAAAUAUUUGAUCAUGAUUAUUCACAUUUUUUGUCCAAAGUUAACUCACAAUUAAUCACGUUUAAUCGCAGCUAGAAAUAAGUAAUUAACGCAUUAACUUUGGUAAUCGCCAUGUGUCUGGAGCAGAUGUAAAAGUCGUGUUAUGCUAUAUGUUGAUUUAUUUCAUUUGUCAUUUAUAUUUAUUUUACAUUGUUUUCACCAUUUUAAAUGAGAAUUAUUCUCUAUAAAAUUUUCUUUUUGGAAAGAAUUUUGGGUGUAUUAAAAUGAUUCACUGGAUUUACAUUUCUUUAAUGCGAAAAUAGAAUUUUAGAUUGUUUUUCUUCUUACUUUUUGGAAUGGAAUAAUGACGAAAACCGUCGUUCCACUGUAAUGGUUUCAUUCACCAUUGUGAAAUCAUAAUUAGAGUGUAGUAAUUGGCCAUGCAUUCUUUAUCUAUUUAUUUUCCAAAAGACAAAUGCUAUUUUCAUCCAUGAUAGGACCUGAAGAGGUUUUAAAAAUGUGAAAAAUGUGCAUAUGUCCCAUAUAAUGAAUUCCUAUACAUUCACUAUACAUUCAUUUCUUUACUGUUAAAGGUGCAUAUGAGGGUUCAUCAAGAGGAGAAGAAGUACCUUUGUCCCGCGUGUGGCUACAAAUGCAAGUGGGCCACCCAGCUGAAAUAUCACAUGACCAAGCACACAGGUGAGAAGCCACAUGUCUGUGAUCAGUGCAGCUACCGCACCAACCGAGCCGA
Doryrhamphus excisus (bluestripe pipefish) is the source of this 5628-nucleotide non-coding RNA. The record is from RefSeq and is a predicted model, not a curated record. NCBI's taxonomy places the organism in Eukaryota, Metazoa, Chordata, Actinopteri, Syngnathiformes, Syngnathidae.